GCGUAACUUCCGCUCAGUCUCUGUCUUCCAGCUCCAUGAUGGGAUACAGACGGAUGUUCAACUCUUUGUCUGCUAAUAGAUGCUGGUUCUACUGCUGAGGUCCUGUGGCAGAGCAGAAACUAUGGGAUAGAGCUACUGACCGAGUCAUGCCUUGCCUUUAGGUCUAAAGGUGGAGCCUUGAUGAGUGUCUCAGUAUGGGACUGACUGAUGCUGCAGCCUGACUGAC
Molecule: long non-coding RNA, 226 nt
Organism: Centropristis striata (black sea bass)
Lineage: Eukaryota; Metazoa; Chordata; Actinopteri; Perciformes; Serranidae
Exons: 3
Source: RefSeq, a predicted model, not a curated record